Molecule: long non-coding RNA, 529 nt
Filed under: Drosophila melanogaster (fruit fly)
Lineage: Eukaryota; Metazoa; Arthropoda; Insecta; Diptera; Drosophilidae
Description: long non-coding RNA:CR44161 (Dmel_CR44161)
Source: RNAcentral
UUUACAAUGUAAGCCAACCAAAAUGAGCACAAAAAUUAGAUUACAAUAAAUACAUCAUGCACAUAGAAAGAUGGGCCUUACAAAGUUUAGAGAUGUCCUGGGACUCCUAAGAUGUCAUCAAGAUUUUUUCACAUCAAGGUCAUCGCGAUGUGGGUAGUUCAUUAACGAACGCCUACAAAACGAAGCUUCACUAAUGAGAGUUCGCCGGCUCGUUGACAGAUGCAUUGGCGCGGAUUAAGAAUGUGCAGAAGCAAACAAAGGAUUGCGGGACCUAAACCAACAACAGCCGGGACAAAAACUGCAGCGGCAAUGCAGCAGGAACAAUGAAACAAACGGUCUUUUGGCUAUUUCACCCAUCUUAUAUUCUAACUUGUCCUACGCACAUUUUAUAUAGCUCCCUAAAAACUGAGAGAAAAUGAUAUAGCCUAAAUAAGGAAAAUUCAAAAUACUUAAAACCAAUAAACUUGUUACUAGAUAAGUUCCUUCAUAAUGGCUAUAGAUAAUAGUAAUUAACUAUUUUGGAAGUAGC